This 227-nucleotide long non-coding RNA is filed under the name Homo sapiens (human). RNAcentral describes it as "HSALNT0040695". Lineage: Eukaryota; Metazoa; Chordata; Mammalia; Primates; Hominidae. The record is from RNAcentral.
GCAGAAGUGACAUUGUGUAACUUUCCAAAGCUUCAUUUUAAGAAAUCUGCAGCUUCCACUUUUACCACUUUGAAUGUUACUCCUUGAAGCCAGCUACCACACUAUGUAGACCAAACCAGCCACAUGUAGAGUUCUACAUGGAGGAGAACCAAAGCCCCAGCCAACAGAUCAAACUGAGUUUAUAGCCAGCACCAUCUCUGCUGUUAGCUCCACCCUGAAGUUCCACA